Molecule: long non-coding RNA, 262 nt
Filed under: Bos taurus (domestic cattle)
Lineage: Eukaryota; Metazoa; Chordata; Mammalia; Artiodactyla; Bovidae
Description: long non-coding RNA NONBTAT014912
Source: RNAcentral
CUUGGGGAGAAUUGUACUUUUAAAAUUUUGAUUCAUACUCAGUUUGGUAAAAGGUAAGUAUUUAACCAAAAAAUCAUCUCAUGUGAGAGGGAGAAGCUGACAGUGAUGUUGGUUCUUCCCUCAUCAUUUCUGUGACAUUUACCACCUGUCUUCAGAAGCCUCUGUGUCUAUAUGUGGAGGGAAAAAAAUUGAAGAAAAUGUAGGACUGGGGAUUGGUAACUUUUCAACAGUAUAAGGAAAUAAUCAAUUUAUAUGGAUAGAU